ACUCCUACGGGAGACAGCAGGUGGGAAUAUUGCACAAUGGGCGCAAGCCUGAUGCAGCCAUGCCGCGUGUGUGAAGAAGGCCUUCGGGUUGUAAAGCACUUUCAGUGGGGAGGAAAGGUUGAUGGUUAAUACCUAUCAGCUGUGACGUUACCCACAGAAGAAGCACCGGCUAACUCCGUGCCAGCAGCCGCCGGUAAUACGGAGGGUGCAAGCGUUAAU
RNAcentral lists this ribosomal RNA (219 nucleotides) under uncultured bacterium. RNAcentral's name for it is "partial 16S ribosomal RNA". It matches the Rfam family "Bacterial small subunit ribosomal RNA", at positions 335 to 543 of the family's 1533-position model. The record is from RNAcentral.